GUCUACGGCCAUGCCACCCUGAACAUGGCCGAUCGCAUCUGAUCUCGGAAGCUAAGCAGGGUUGGGCCUGGUUAGUACUUGGAUGGGAGACCACUUAGGAAGACCAGGUGCUGUAGGCU
This 119-nucleotide ribosomal RNA is filed under the name Pteropus alecto (black flying fox). The record is from RNAcentral. Lineage: Eukaryota; Metazoa; Chordata; Mammalia; Chiroptera; Pteropodidae.